AAAUGUGAAGUGAUAUAAAUGUGAAAU
This 27-nucleotide non-coding RNA is filed under the name Trypanosoma brucei brucei. Lineage: Eukaryota; Euglenozoa; Kinetoplastea; Trypanosomatida; Trypanosomatidae. The record is from RNAcentral.